CGCUGGCGGCGGCCUACACAUGCAAGUCGAGCGGUAACAGGAGAACCUUGCUUCUCGUUGACGAGCGGCGGACGGGUGAGUAAUGUGUGGGGAUCUCCCCUAUAAAUGGGAAUACUCCCGGAAACCGGAGCUUAUAACCGAUA
RNAcentral lists this ribosomal RNA (143 nucleotides) under Providencia sp. S12(2010). RNAcentral describes it as "partial 16S ribosomal RNA". It matches the Rfam family "Bacterial small subunit ribosomal RNA", at positions 34 to 175 of the family's 1533-position model. The record is from RNAcentral. Lineage: Bacteria; Pseudomonadati; Pseudomonadota; Gammaproteobacteria; Enterobacterales; Morganellaceae.